AGAGGGGGCUGGUCCUUGGGAGGGAAAACCGGGGGAAGGGGCGGGCCCUCGGGGGGGGAGUGACCGGAAGAGGGGGCGGGUCCUUAAGGAAAGACCGGAAGAGGGGCGGCCCUCGGGGAGGGGCCGGAAAAAGGCAGGCGGGCCUUCGAGGAGGGUCCGGAAGAAGAGGAGGAGGAAGGAGAUCCACUCUGCCAUAUUGUGCUUUGUGAUGACAGCACUGGAGACCUGUGAGCUACACGGUGCCUUUGCCUGCUGGCCAGCUUCCGCCACUCAGGGCCAUUGGAGGGAAACAAGAAGGCGGGAGGAGGGAGAAGGGACUUGCUCCUUCCUCUUUGCUUCCCGUUCUUACUACUGUCCGGAGCACUGGCUCCUCUCCCAGGCGGCAGCUGUUGGUUCCAGCCUCCAGCUUUCCUCGGGACCUCAGAACUGGAUUCAUCAUAUGCCUCGAGAGGAACUGAAGUUACCUGCAUAGAAGCUUCGCAGAUCGGUGUCCAAACAGUUCUCCAGGAAGCGCCUCAGAGACGCGCAUGGACUGAGGGCCACGGUGAUUGCUUCAGAACUGCUCUUUCUCUGAGGAGACUCGGAGGCCCCGCGACAAGGGUCUGGGGGCUCAUCUAGUCCAGCCUCCUACCUGGUGUGGACUCCCUUCAGUGGUGUCCCGGACAGACGGCCAUUGAGUCGCGACUCGACCAAUCUCGUACUGGGAAACUCGAUGUCCAGGGGCGCCCCGUUCCACUGCUGGGCAGCUUUGAGUAUGAGUCACUCCUGAUUCUGAAUAGAAGCCUGCGCUCCUGUCACUUUGACCUGCUGAUACCACCUCUGCCUGUUUUUAGAAUACGUCUUCCCAGGGACAGCGCUUUAGUUCCUGGAGCAGGAAUCGCGUUCCCUAGCGGGGAGGGGGGGGUUCAUCUGUUGGUAGCUACUCUGUGCCAAGCACCGUGCUGACAUUCUGUGUUUUCAGUUUUUGUUUUAAAGACCUUAUCUUAUUAAAAAAAAUUUUUUUUUUUUUUUACAUUUACUUGUUUUUGAGAGAGACAGAGAGACGAAGCAUGAGCAGGGGAGGGGCAGGCAGAGAGAGACGGACACACACACACACACACACCCACAGAAUCGGAAGCAGGCUCCAGGCUUUGAGCUGUCAGCACAGAGCCUGAUGCAGGCACUGAACCCAUGAACUGUGGGAUCAUGACCUGACCUGAAGUCGGAUGCUUAACUGACUGAGCCACUUGGGUGCCCCAAGACUUUGUUUAAAAAAAUUUUUUUUUAAUGUUUGUUUUUGAGAGAGAGACAAAGCGUGGGCAGGGGAGGGGCAGAGAGAGUGAGAGAGCAAGAGAGAGCGAGAGAUUGAGACAGACACAGAAUCUGAAACAGGCUCCAGGCUCUGAGCUGUCAGCACAGAGCCCGACACAGGGCUCGAACUCAUGAGCUGUGAGAUCACUGGCCUGAACCGAAGUCGGACGCUUAACCGACUGAGACACCCAAGCACCCCUAUUUAAUUUUAAGUAAUCUCUACGCUCAGUGUGGGGGCUUGAACUCACAACCUCAAGAUCAAGAGUCGGAUGCUCUACUGAGUGAGCCAGCCGGGUGCCCCACGUUCUGUGUUUUGUUUUUUUUUUUAAUCUCGUUUAUCUUCACACAAUUCUACUGUUAGCCCCACUUUACAAAUGAGGAAGCGGAGGCUCAGAGAGUGUAGGUAACGGUCCAAGGACACACAGCAAGGAAAAGGGCAGCCUGGGAACGCUGCCCGGCUUUUCCGCGCUUUUUAUGCUGCACGCCUGUGUUAAUCACGUCCAGCUCCUUUCCCUGCGCCCUCUGAGAGUCAGUCUCCAGGUCCCCUCCCCCUCCACGCUCAGCCUCCCUUGGAGACACAGAGCAAGACCGUGGCGCCUGGAGAUCACGACACUCCACGUGUGGCCUGCGCAGGUCACAGUACGCGCCAGAACCUGGGAACGUCGUUUCUCAUUCAUGGACCCUGUGCCUCGUUUGCUCUGUGGGCGGAGUCCCCAGUGCCCUCCCCGCCCCGUGUCCUCCUGUCAGCUGAAAGUGUUGUGUCAGGGCUUAGCGGUGACGAGGUAACGGGCAGCGGGGGCUGAGCGGUGUCGGGGGACAGCAGAGGCCUGGCUCACCGGUGGGGAGGUGCCUGUAGUAGUAGAUGACGGGGUGGAGGAAGUUGGACUGCCACGCGUCUUCCGUGUGCCCCACGGACCGGUCAUGAAAGAAGACGUCCUUGUCGGGCCCAGAGAAAUUUCUGCCAUACUCCAUGUUGAUGACGAAGAGCCCGUGCCUGGCCCUCUUUCCUGUGAUGGUCUCCAGCUGGGCCAGCAUCUGCACGGGGAGCUCCUCCAGCUGAACCCCGACUUACACAGGAGACAGAUUCCAGAAAACUCUGAGUAACCUGAAAGUAAAGGCCACCGGCCCCCAGAGAGUGCUGCGCAGAGACGAAUGUGUGUGACUCAGGUUUUAAGAGGACCGCCCGGCCGCUGUGUUGAAAGCAGACCACGGGCAGAGGUGCGAGGCUGUAGGUGGUUCAGGCUUCACUUAGGAGGGAACCACUGGGCCACUCCAUGCCAGGGACAGGCAGAGAAGAGCUCCGACCCGUGAAUGGUGGAGCUGGGCUACUCACUCCUUCAGCAGGACGACA
Molecule: long non-coding RNA, 2641 nt
Organism: Neofelis nebulosa (Clouded leopard)
Lineage: Eukaryota; Metazoa; Chordata; Mammalia; Carnivora; Felidae
Exons: 7
Source: RefSeq, a predicted model, not a curated record